This 72-nucleotide transfer RNA is filed under the name Anaerolineae bacterium. RNAcentral's name for it is "tRNA-Arg". It matches the Rfam family "tRNA". Rfam says of the family: Transfer RNA (tRNA) molecules are approximately 80 nucleotides in length. Their secondary structure includes four short double-helical elements and three loops (D, anti-codon, and T loops). The record is from RNAcentral. Lineage: Bacteria; Bacillati; Chloroflexota; Anaerolineae.
ACCCCCGUAGCUCAGCGGAUAGAGCGUUGGCCUCCGGAGCCAAAGGCGUAGGUUCGAUUCCUAUCGGGGGUA